Apis laboriosa (Himalayan honeybee) is the source of this 451-nucleotide long non-coding RNA. RefSeq lists it as uncharacterized. NCBI's taxonomy places the organism in Eukaryota, Metazoa, Arthropoda, Insecta, Hymenoptera, Apidae. The record is from RefSeq and is a predicted model, not a curated record. The transcript has 4 exons.
UUUAAAACUAACGUCCUGACACUAGAUCCUACUUGAUCGAAACAAUUCGAAGGCGAUCGACCUAUGGCAAAAAUUUUCAUCUUUCUGUCUGUCUUGAUUCACCUCUCUGUAAAUAAGUGUGAUUUUCUGUAACAUGGAAAUCAAAUCAAAAUUAAACCAAAAUGAACGUAGAAAUGGCAAAUCUGAUUACGACACCAAAAAUUGUAGAAAUCAGGUUCAGUCCAGAUAAUUUUAGUUCGAUCGAUUUUUCCCAGUUUUUUCGAGGGAGAGGCUCGACGAAGAGAUAGUUCUCAAUAGCCAUAAUCGAUCCACGUGAAAGACGAGCGCGAUGAACAGUUUAAUUGGCUUCGACUUGGUUCAAUUUGAUGGGUCUCGAUGUGGUCAAUAAUUAAACGAUUUUGCAAUUACAAUAAGAUACAACAUUGAUUACAAUCAAAAUGGCAUACAAAUU